GACGAACGCUGGCGGCGUGCCUAAUACAUGCAAGUAGAACGCUGAAGAGAGGAGCUUGCUCUUCUUGGAAGAGUUGCGAACGGGUGAGUAACGCGUAGGUAACCUGCCUUGUAGCGGGGGAUAACUAUUGGAAACGAUAGCUAAUACCGCAUAACAAUGGAUGACCCAUGUCAUUUAUUUGAAAGGGGCAACUGCUCCACUACAAGAUGAACCUGCGUUGUAUUAGCUAGUAGGUGAGGUAACGGCUCACCUAGGCGACGAUACAUAGCCGACCUGAGAGGGUGAUCGGCCACACGGGGACUGAGACACGGCCCAGACUCCUACGGGAGGCAGCAGUAGGGAAUCUUCGGCAAUGGGGGCAACCCUGACCGAGCAACGCCGCGUGAGUGAAGAAGGUUUUCGGAUCGUAAAGCUCUGUUGUAAGUCAAGAACGAGUGUGAGAGUGGAAAGUUCACACUGUGACGGUAGCUUACCAGAAAGGGACGGCUAACUACGUGCCAGCCGCCGCAGUAA
Molecule: ribosomal RNA, 513 nt
Filed under: uncultured bacterium
Lineage: Bacteria
Description: partial 16S ribosomal RNA
Rfam family: Bacterial small subunit ribosomal RNA
Source: RNAcentral